This 253-nucleotide ribosomal RNA is filed under the name uncultured bacterium. RNAcentral's name for it is "partial 16S ribosomal RNA". It matches the Rfam family "Bacterial small subunit ribosomal RNA", at positions 524 to 776 of the family's 1533-position model. The record is from RNAcentral.
UACGUAGGGUGCAAGCGUUGUCCGGAAUUAUUGGGCGUAAAGAGCUCGUAGGCGGUCUGUCACGUCGGCUGUGAAAGCCCGGAGCUCAACUCCGGAAUUGCACCCGAUACUGCCGUGCUUGAGGACUGGAGAGGAGAUUGGAAUUCACAGUGGAGCAGUGAAAUGCGUAGAUAUUGUGAGGAACACUAGUGGCGAAGGCGAAUCUCUGGACAGUUCCUGACGCUGAGGCACGAAGGCCAGGGGAGCAAACGGG